GGGGGAUAACACCGGGAAACCGGUGCUAAUACCGCGUACGCUCAGCGGGGUUAGAGGCCCGUUGAGGAAAGCUCUGGCGGCGGAGGAGGGGGCUGCGGUCCAUCAGCUAGCUGGUGCGGUAAAGGCGCACCAGGGCGACGACGGAUAGGGGACCUGAGAGGGUGACCCCCCACACUGGUACUGACACACGGACCAGACUCCUACGGGAGGCAGCAGUAAGGAAUAUUGCGCAAUGGAGGAAACUCUGACGCAGCAACGCCGCGUGCGGGAUGAAGGUCUUCGGAUCGUAAACCGCUUUUACGGGGGAAGAUAAUGACGGUACCCCGUGAAUAAGUCUCGGCUAACUACGUGCCAGCAGCCGCGGUAAAACGUACGAGGCAAGCGUUAUCCGGAUUUACUGGGCGUAAAGCGCGUGCAGGCGGUGGUUUACGUCGUGCGUGAAAGCUCCCUGGCUCAACCGGGAGAGUUCGUGCGAAACUGGAAUCACUGGAGGCAGGUAGAGGCAGACGGAAUUCCGGGUGUAGUGGUGAAAUGCGUAGAUAUCCGGAGGAACACCAGUGGCGAAGGCGGUCUGCUGGCCCUGACCUGACGCUCAGACGCGAAAGCGUGGGUAGCGAACGGGAUUAGAAACCCCGGUAGUCCAUGCUGUAAACGAUGCUGACUGGGCGUUGGCUCCGUCAAGGAGUCAGUGCCGAAGCUAACGCGUUAAGUCAGCCGCCUGGGGACUACGGCCGCAAGGCUAAAACUCAAAGGAAUUGACGGGGGCCCGCACAAGCAGCGGAGCGUGUGGUUUAAUUCGAGGCUACACGAAGAACCUUACCUGGGCUUGACAUAUGGGUGGUAGGGAACCGAAAGGGGACCGACCUUCGGGAGCCCAUACAGGUGCUGCAUGGCUGUCGUCAGCUCGUGUCGUGAGAUGUUCGGUUAAGUCCGGUAACGAGCGCAACCCCUGGUGUCAGUUAUAAGUGUCUGGCACGACUGCCCGGCUAAACUGGGAGGAAGGUGGGGAUGACGUCAAGUCAGCAUGGCCUUUAUGUCCAGGGCUACACACACGCUACAAUGGCCGGUACAAUAGGUAGCCAACCCGCGAGGGGGAGCCAAUCCAAUAAAACCGGUCUCAGUUCGGAUUGCAGGCUGCAACUCGCCUGCAUGAAGUCGGAGUUGCUAGUAAACGCAGGUCAGCCAUACUGCGUUGAUACGUUCCCGGGCCUUGUACGCACCGCCCGUCACGUCAUGGAAGCUGGUCACGCCUGAAGUCGGUGGGCUAACCUAACGGA
Molecule: ribosomal RNA, 1277 nt
Filed under: uncultured organism
Description: bacterial SSU rRNA
Rfam family: Bacterial small subunit ribosomal RNA
Source: RNAcentral